UACGUAGGGUGCAAGCGUUAAUCGGAAUUACUGGGCGUAAAGCGUGCGCAGGCGGUUUUGUAAGUCUGUCGUGAAAUCCCCGGGCUCAACCUGGGAAUUGCGAUGGAGACUGCAAGGCUGGAGUCUGGCAGAGGGGGAUGGAAUUCCGCGUGUAGCAGUGAAAUGCGUAGAUAUGCGGAGGAACACCGAUGGCGAAGGCAAUCCCCUGGGCCUGCACUGACGCUCAUGCACGAAAGCGUGGGGAGCAAACGGG
RNAcentral lists this ribosomal RNA (253 nucleotides) under uncultured bacterium. RNAcentral's name for it is "partial 16S ribosomal RNA". It matches the Rfam family "Bacterial small subunit ribosomal RNA", at positions 524 to 776 of the family's 1533-position model. The record is from RNAcentral.